This 99-nucleotide ribosomal RNA is filed under the name Grimontia sedimenti. Its description in RNAcentral is "Grimontia sp. S25 partial 16S ribosomal RNA". It matches the Rfam family "Archaeal small subunit ribosomal RNA", at positions 644 to 740 of the family's 1478-position model. The record is from RNAcentral. Lineage: Bacteria; Pseudomonadati; Pseudomonadota; Gammaproteobacteria; Vibrionales; Vibrionaceae.
AAUCCUCGGGGGACCACCAGUGGGCGAAGGCGCUUGACGAGAACGGACCUGACGGUGAGGGGCGAAGGCGUAGGGGAGCGAUCGGGAUUAGAAACCCCC